CGCUGAUGCGCCUCACGCGCGCUUUUCUCCUUUCGUAUUCCGCCGUUGCAGGGACGCUGCCGCGGAGUAAUGGGGUGCUUACGAAGCGGGGGUGUGGCGUUUUCUCAGCCGGGUCAUAGUUAGGUGCGUGAAAUUCCUCAGAAAAGCCGUGGUUCAUUCUCAUCGUUCUGUAGAAGGGAAUAUUGUGUGGAAAGUAGGCCAGAUAGGGUCAGAACAGGUUGGAGGGACUAAGGCACAGGAACGUGCAGAAAGUAACUGCAGGCAAGUCGGGGUGCGUUGCCUCGGGCCUGGCGCUUCAGAGUGCGACUGACCUCAGUCAGUCCACGCAGUACUCACUCUAGCAGAAGACCCAGAAAGCCGUCUCCUGGAAAACUGGGACACGACACCCAAGCGCUUUCCCGAAGCUUCUCACCACAGAGACGUGAAUUCGGGAAAAACCCUGACCCUCUGGCUACAGUAGAAGCAGGAGACCUGACUCCUUUGUUUAACCAAACGACUGUCUGGAACCGUUAGUUCCUGAUAUUUUCAAGCCCACUUGAAUGUGUUGUUCCUGUUGCCCUUACAGACAUCAAGCAAGGACAGGAGCUUUUUUCAAACUAUGACAUGGUUAUCAGCUAAUGUGAUGAAUUAAAAACUUAAGGUUUACUAAGCAGCUAUUGUGUUCAUUCUAAAUUCG
This 676-nucleotide long non-coding RNA is filed under the name Cricetulus griseus (Chinese hamster). RNAcentral describes it as "lncRNA (ENSCGRG00015032273.1)". The record is from RNAcentral. Lineage: Eukaryota; Metazoa; Chordata; Mammalia; Rodentia; Cricetidae.